GGCUCAGAACGAACGCUGGCUUGCAGGCCUAACACAUGCAAGUCGAGCGGCCGUAGCAAUACGGCAGCGGCAGACGGGAGAGUAACACGUGGGAACGCGCCCUUCGGUUCGGAAUAACUCAGGGAAACUUGGGCUAAUACCGGAUACGCCCUUACGGGGAAAGAUUUAUUGCCGAAGGAACGGCCCGCGUCCGAUUAGCUUGUUGGUGAGGUAACGGCUCACCAAGGCGACGAUCGGUAGCUGGUCUGAGAGGAUGACCAGCCUCACUGGGACUGAGACACGGCCCAGACUCCUACGGGAGGCAGCAGUGGG
RNAcentral lists this ribosomal RNA (312 nucleotides) under uncultured Hyphomicrobiales bacterium. RNAcentral describes it as "bacterial SSU rRNA". It matches the Rfam family "Bacterial small subunit ribosomal RNA", at positions 21 to 358 of the family's 1533-position model. Lineage: Bacteria; Pseudomonadati; Pseudomonadota; Alphaproteobacteria; Hyphomicrobiales. The record is from RNAcentral.